GUGAGCGUAGCUCAAUCGGUCAGAGCACCGGGUUGUGAGCCCGGGGGUUGAGGGUUCGAGCCCCUUCGCUCACC
This 74-nucleotide transfer RNA is filed under the name Phycisphaera sp. RNAcentral describes it as "tRNA-His". It matches the Rfam family "tRNA". From Rfam's summary of the family: Transfer RNA (tRNA) molecules are approximately 80 nucleotides in length. Lineage: Bacteria; Pseudomonadati; Planctomycetota; Phycisphaerae; Phycisphaerales; Phycisphaeraceae. The record is from RNAcentral. RNAcentral also lists the same sequence under 1 other name.